RNAcentral lists this transfer RNA (71 nucleotides) under Limnoglobus roseus. Its description in RNAcentral is "tRNA-Trp". It matches the Rfam family "tRNA". From Rfam's summary of the family: Transfer RNA (tRNA) molecules are approximately 80 nucleotides in length. Their secondary structure includes four short double-helical elements and three loops (D, anti-codon, and T loops). Further hydrogen bonds mediate the characteristic L-shaped molecular structure. tRNAs have two regions of fundamental functional importance: the anti-codon, which is responsible for specific mRNA codon recognition, and the 3' end, to which the tRNAs corresponding amino acid is attached (by aminoacyl-tRNA synthetases). tRNAs cope with the degeneracy of the genetic code in two manners: having more than one tRNA (with a specific anti-codon) for a particular amino acid; and 'wobble' base-pairing, i.e. permitting non-standard base-pairing at the 3rd anti-codon position. The record is from RNAcentral. Lineage: Bacteria; Pseudomonadati; Planctomycetota; Planctomycetia; Gemmatales; Gemmataceae.
AGAGGGAUGCUCCUGGGAGAGCACGCGGAUUCCAACACCGCCUCACAGGGUUCGAAUCCUUGUCCCUCUGC